UCAUUUUGGCGCGAAAGCAAAACCAGAGAAUGUCAGCAGGAGGAGAAGACGAGAGAGAAGAGUACCAAGUAGAAGAAGAGUUCAGCGUGUGGAAGAAGAACACCCCAUUUCUCUACGAUUUGAUUCUCUCUCACUCUCUGGAAUGGCCUUCUCUCACUGUCCACUGGCUCCCUUCCACCCCUUCCACUUACGCCGACGACACCUACGCCAUCCACAAGAUGAUUCUCGGCACCCACACUUCCGAAGAUUUCCCCAAUUUCCUCCUCGUUGCUGAUGCCCAUUUGCCGCUCCAUCCUGCUUCCGUCCCCAACACGAAUAUCGAAGACCCCAUUCUUCCCAAGGUCCACCCUUUUCCGCUACUAAUUUAGUUACAGCUUUACAACUAUACUGCUUUCCUUUGAUUAAUUGAUUGCGUAUAUGGGUUUUACGGGUUGUGCUAUUGUUUUGAAGAAACUUUGCAAGAUGAUUUCAAGUGUAUUCCAUUUGCAUAUUAGAUGAUAAGAGGAAAGAUAGGUGUUUACUCAAAAUUGUGGAGCUUUACGACAUUACUGCUAACCUUGAUUAAUUGAUUGUGUAUAUCGGUUUUAUGGAUUUUGCUAUUGUUUGGAGAUAUUUGACAAAAUGUUUUCAAGUGUAUUACAUUUGCAUAUUAGAUAAUAAGAGGAAAGAUAGGUGUUUACUCAAAAUAGUGGAGGCACGGAGCCUUAGGUAGGCUACAUGGAUAUGUUCAUUUGCAAGUGUGUUAGUAGAGGAUCUUAAUACAUCUAUUGUCUUUGUUAUUUGUUCUUUACCUAAACCACCCCCUUUUUCGGAUUGAAAAGCUGACCUGGGCUUCUUCCCUUAUAGCUAUUGCUUUAGGAUUAGGCAUAAAUAUAAGUCAGUUUUUUGGGUUUAGUAUCUACUGAUUUAUCUCAUUUACCCUUCUCCUCUCCUUCACCUCUAUGUUUCAGUAAUUAGUGAAAGAUUUUUAAAGGUAGAAGUCAUCCUAUUACUUCUUUAUUAUCCUCUCUGGUAUGAAAAUCUUCAUAUUUAUUAUUUUUACUAUUUUUCUGUCGUUAAAAAUUUCAUUUCUAUUCACUUGCCUUUAGUAGCAAUUUCUAAAGAGCAGACAAUUGGAUCUUUUGAAGUUAUUUUACAAAUUGGUGAUUCUCUUCUAAUGUAUUUCUAUUUGGGUUCUCACUGUACUGUAUGAUAAUGGCAUCAGUAUGGUUGUACUAUAUAGCAGAUUAAAAAUGGAAACCAUAAGGAUGUUUAUAUGUAGACACCAAUAUGGUGAUUCUUUAGGCAAACAUAUAAAUUAGUCGGAAUAGGAUGUACUUAACUGUUGCAAGCAGUGUCAACUAACAAAAGGGAAAGAAAUAUAUACAAAAGAGCUUUAAAUUUAAAGAAAAAUCUUCAAAGCAGAUCUGUGCCAUGGACAAGGAGCAAGACUUAAUGCUAAUUGCAAGUUUUUCUUAAAUAUUAAUUUCUUAAAUUGUAAAGAAUCUAAUCUCAUAUUUCGUUUGCAUAAUAUUAUUUUAAAAUAUAUAAUUAAAUCAUACUUUAUUUAAUUAGGAAACUCUAUUUGAUCAUAAAAAAAAUUAAUAUUUUUUAACUAUAAAAUAGGAUUAUUAUAUAUGUGUUGUUCGUUAAUAUUAAAAGUUAUAUUAUGCAAGUACAAAAAUGCCUCUCGGACUUAAGAUUAGCGGCUCUUUUUAACGGAAUCGAGAUCGCAAAUAUAGACUGCAAUAAACUUACCAACCGCCACGUUUCAAAGUAUGGAUAGUCCUAUGAGUCAAAAUUGAGGAUCAGAAACAUUUAAUUCUUCCGACUAAUAUAAACGCGUGAACCAAACGGACACCUAAAUACAUAGAAUUCGGCCCCUCGCAAACAUGAGUUGAGCCCAGCCCAGCGAAUUCCAUCUAACCACUAUGAUGCCUUGCCUUUGAGCUAGUCCCUUUUAUAUAAAAUUAAAACCCUGGCCAACACACACACAGAGAGAAACCCUCCAUCUUCGCCGGUAUCAUUUUUGCGCGAAAAGCUUGAGAAUGUCAGGAGGAGAAGAGGAUAGAGAAGAGUACCAAUCAGAAGAAGAGUUCAGCGUGUGGAAGAAGAACGCCCCAUUUCUCUACGAUUUGAUUCUCUCCCACUCUCUGGAAUCACCUUCUCUCACUGUCCAUUGGCUCCCUUGUGCCCCUUGCACUUACGCAGACGACACCUACGCCAUCCACAAGAUGAUUCUCGGCACCCACACUUCUGAAGAUUUCCCCAAUUUUCUCCUCGUUGCUGAUGCCCAUUUGCCUCUUCAUCCUG
Molecule: long non-coding RNA, 2292 nt
Filed under: Daucus carota (carrot)
Lineage: Eukaryota; Viridiplantae; Streptophyta; Magnoliopsida; Apiales; Apiaceae
Description: long non-coding RNA (DCAR_LNC004069)
Source: RNAcentral